UACGUAGGGGGCAAGCGUUGUCCGGAAUUAUUGGGCGUAAAGAGCGCGUAGGCGGUCCGAUAAGUCUGCUGUGAAAGUCAGGGGCUCAACCCUUGAAAGCCGGCCGAUACUGUCGGACUAGAGUCCGGAAGAGGCAAGUGGAAUUCCCGGUGUAGCGGUGAAAUGCGCAAAUAUCGGGAGGAACACCAAUGGCGAAGGCAGCUUGCUGGGACGGUACUGACGCUGAGGCGCGAAAGCGUGGGGAGCAAACAGG
This 253-nucleotide ribosomal RNA is filed under the name uncultured bacterium. Its description in RNAcentral is "partial 16S ribosomal RNA". It matches the Rfam family "Bacterial small subunit ribosomal RNA", at positions 524 to 776 of the family's 1533-position model. The record is from RNAcentral.